CCUACGGGUGGCAGCAGUGGGGAAUAUUGGGCAAUGGGCGCAAGCCUGACCCAGCAACGCCGCGUGAAGGAAGAAGGCUUUCGGGUUGUAAACUUCUUUUAAGAGGGAAGAGCAGAAGACGGUACCUCUUGAAUAAGCCACGGCUAACUACGUGCCAUCAGCCGCGGUAAUACGUAGGUGGCAAGCGUUGUCCGGAUUUACUGGGUGUAAAGGGCGUGCAGCCGGGAAGACAAGUCAGAUGUGAAAUCCCGGGGGUCAACCCCGGACCUGCAUUUGAAACUGUUUUUCUUGAGGACCGGAGAGGUAUUCGGAAUGCCUUGUGUAGCGGUGAAAUGCGUAGAUAUAAGGAAGAACACCAGUGGCGAAGGCGGAUGACUGGCCGGCAACUGACGGUGAGGCGCGAAAGCGUGGGGAGCGAACAGGAUUAGAUACCCUGGUAGUC
Molecule: ribosomal RNA, 442 nt
Filed under: uncultured bacterium
Lineage: Bacteria
Description: partial 16S ribosomal RNA
Rfam family: Bacterial small subunit ribosomal RNA
Source: RNAcentral